This 929-nucleotide ribosomal RNA is filed under the name Brevibacterium linens. RNAcentral's name for it is "bacterial SSU rRNA". It matches the Rfam family "Bacterial small subunit ribosomal RNA", at positions 420 to 1355 of the family's 1533-position model. Lineage: Bacteria; Bacillati; Actinomycetota; Actinomycetes; Micrococcales; Brevibacteriaceae. The record is from RNAcentral.
GGGUUGUAAACCGCUUCCAGCAGGGAAGAAGCCUUUAUGGUGACGGUACCUGCAGAAGAAGUACCGGCUAACUACGUGCCAGCAGCCGCGGUAAUACGUAGGGUACGAGCGUUGUCCGGAAUUAUUGGGCGUAAAGAGCUCGUAGGUGGUUGGUCACGUCUGCUGUGGAAACGCAACGCUUAACGUUGCGCGGGCAGUGGGUACGGGCUGACUAGAGUGCAGUAGGGGAGUCUGGAAUUCCUGGUGUAGCGGUGAAAUGCGCAGAUAUCAGGAGGAACACCGGUGGCGAAGGCGGGACUCUGGGCUGUAACUGACACUGAGGAGCGAAAGCAUGGGGAGCGAACAGGAUUAGAUACCCUGGUAGUCCAUGCCGUAAACGUUGGGCACUAGGUGUGGGGGACAUUCCACGUUCUCCGCGCCGUAGCUAACGCAUUAAGUGCCCCGCCUGGGGAGUACGGUCGCAAGGCUAAAACUCAAAGGAAUUGACGGGGGCCCGCACAAGCGGCGGAGCAUGCGGAUUAAUUCGAUGCAACGCGAAGAACCUUACCAAGGCUUGACAUACACCAGAUCGUUCUGGAAACAGUUCUUCCCCUUUUGGGGUUGGUGUACAGGUGGUGCAUGGUUGUCGUCAGCUCGUGUCGUGAGAUGUUGGGUUAAGUCCCGCAACGAGCGCAACCCUCGUUCUAUGUUGCCAGCACGUGAUGGUGGGAACUCAUAGGAGACUGCCGGGGUCAACUCGGAGGAAGGUGGGGAUGACGUCAAAUCAUCAUGCCCUUUAUGUCUUGGGCUUCACGCAUGCUACAAUGGCCGGUACAGAGAGAGGCGAGCCCGUGAGGGUGAGCGAAUCCCUUAAAGCCGGUCUCAGUUCGGAUCGUAGUCUGCAAUUCGACUACGUGAAGUCGGAGUCGCUAGUAAUCGCAGAUCAGCAA